GGGGCUGUAGCUCAGCGGCAGAGCACUUAUCUAGCAUGUAUGAGGCACUGGGUUCCAUCCUCAGCACCA
This 69-nucleotide transfer RNA is filed under the name Ictidomys tridecemlineatus (thirteen-lined ground squirrel). RNAcentral describes it as "Spermophilus tridecemlineatus (thirteen-lined ground squirrel) tRNA". It matches the Rfam family "tRNA". Rfam says of the family: Transfer RNA (tRNA) molecules are approximately 80 nucleotides in length. Their secondary structure includes four short double-helical elements and three loops (D, anti-codon, and T loops). Further hydrogen bonds mediate the characteristic L-shaped molecular structure. tRNAs have two regions of fundamental functional importance: the anti-codon, which is responsible for specific mRNA codon recognition, and the 3' end, to which the tRNAs corresponding amino acid is attached (by aminoacyl-tRNA synthetases). tRNAs cope with the degeneracy of the genetic code in two manners: having more than one tRNA (with a specific anti-codon) for a particular amino acid; and 'wobble' base-pairing, i.e. permitting non-standard base-pairing at the 3rd anti-codon position. The record is from Rfam by way of RNAcentral. Lineage: Eukaryota; Metazoa; Chordata; Mammalia; Rodentia; Sciuridae.